UACGUAGGUGGCAAGCGUUGUCCGGAGUUACUGGGCGCAAAGGGCGUGUAGGCGGCUUUUCAAGUCAGACGUGAAAACCCUGGGCUUAACCCAGGAACUGCGUUUGAAACUAGAAGGCUUGAGGACCGGAGAGGGUAGUGGAAUUCCCAGUGUAGCGGUGAAAUGCGUAGAUAUUGGGAGGAACACCAGUGGCGAAGGCGACUGCCUGGACGGCACCUGACGCUGAGGCGCGAAAGCUAGGGGAG
RNAcentral lists this ribosomal RNA (245 nucleotides) under uncultured bacterium. RNAcentral's name for it is "partial 16S ribosomal RNA". It matches the Rfam family "Bacterial small subunit ribosomal RNA", at positions 524 to 768 of the family's 1533-position model. The record is from RNAcentral.